Molecule: ribosomal RNA, 116 nt
Filed under: bacterium
Lineage: Bacteria
Also listed under: 2 other names
Source: RNAcentral
UCCGGUGGUUAAGCUAAGGGGUUCCACCUGUUCCCAUCCCGAACACAGAAGUUAAGCCCUUAUACGCCGACAAUACUUGGCUGGCGACGGCCCGGAAAGAUAGGUAGCUGCCGGAU